Non-coding RNA from Potamilus streckersoni, 73 nucleotides. The record is from the annotation of a GenBank genome assembly. NCBI's taxonomy places the organism in Eukaryota, Metazoa, Mollusca, Bivalvia, Unionida, Unionidae.
GAUCUGGUGGCCUAAUGGUGAGAGCGUGCACCUAGGAUGCGGGAGGUCGUGGGUUCGAACCCCGGUCGAUACA